This 764-nucleotide long non-coding RNA is filed under the name Pan troglodytes (chimpanzee). RNAcentral describes it as "long non-coding RNA NONPTRT009763". The record is from RNAcentral. Lineage: Eukaryota; Metazoa; Chordata; Mammalia; Primates; Hominidae.
CCCCCACACACACACCAGAGCCCCCAACACACACACACACCAGAGCCUCCCAACAACACACACACGAGUCCCCAACAUACACACACACCAGAGCCCCCAACACACACACCAGAGCGCCCAACACACACACACACACCAGGGCCCCCCAACACACAAACCAGAGCCUCCAAGACAUACACACCAGAGCCCCCCAAUACACACACCAGAGCCCCGAACACACAUACGAGAGCCUCCAACACAGACACCAGAGCCCCCAACACACACACACACCAGAGCCUCCAACACACACACACCAGAGUCCCCAACACACACACCAGAGCCCCCAACACACACACCACAGCCUCCAACACACACACCACAGCCUCCAACACAUAUACAUGAGAGCCCACAUCACACACACCAGAGCCCCCAACACAUACCAGAGCCCCCAAAACACACCAGAGCCCCCAACCCACACACCAGAGCCUCCAACACACACAGAGCCCCCACCACACACACACCAGAGCCCCCAACACACACCAGGGCCCCCAACACACACACACCAGAGCCCCCAACAUACACACCAGAGCCCCCAACACACACACACAUCAGAGCUCUCAGCACUCACACACACCAGAGCCGCCAACACACACACACACACACCAGAGCCUCCCAAGACACACACCAGAGCCGCCAACACACACACACACACAACCAGAGCCCCCAACACACACACACACACCAGAGCCUCCAACACAGAGCCCCCAACACGCAAACCAGAGCCU